Populus euphratica (Euphrates poplar) is the source of this 979-nucleotide long non-coding RNA. RefSeq lists it as uncharacterized. The transcript has 2 exons. The record is from RefSeq and is a predicted model, not a curated record. Lineage: Eukaryota; Viridiplantae; Streptophyta; Magnoliopsida; Malpighiales; Salicaceae.
GGGACUUCUACGGAGGAGUUUCUAUGUUUCUACUGCAACUAGAGGAGGCAUCCAAAGGGAUCGCAUUGAUCCCGAGUGUCCCUGGCCAUGAUUUUGGAUCAUGCUAUCCCUUUGGAUUCCUCCUUUGGUGGCUUCUAUAGCAUUAACGGGUUUCAUUGGCGAUGCUCCACACUCCCUUCUCGUGCAUCAUCAACACCAGCAACUUCAACAUGGCUCGAGAAAGCGAAUUCUAUAAUACCAAGUACCAACAGAUCAAUCAUUGGAUCUGAAUUUAAAAAAGCUACAUACAACUUGCUCCAAAGAAAUAAAUGGACAUUGGCCCCAAGAAAAUCUCCAAGAGAGGUACGUAUCUUGUUGUUAUUGUUGCUAACAGUUGUCCUGAAUGUGAUUUGCUAAUUUUAUUAAAUACACAUGUACUCCUUUAAGAUAUAUGGCAAACCUGAAAUCAAGGAUAUUGGAUAUCUAUUCCCUCUUUCAAAAACAUGUGAGACAUUAAAUUUAUAUGGGUGUUGAGGAAGAAUAUGUCCGCACCGGAUCUUUAAUAGAUCUUUUGUUGUUUUCAAGCAAUGCUAGUGAAGUCUGAAUUAGGUGUCAAAUGAGUUCAUAGUUCGAUUAGUAAUCACAUUCUCCUCUCCUCUCAAAAAGUAUGAGGUUCUAACCUCUCCUUUGUAACGAAGGGAUGAGGUUUUCUGCCGGAGCUUCUACACAAUCACGAGCUGACUCCUCUUAUUUUUCGCUGAAAGAAUUUAAACCAACUUUGGAAAUUCUUGGUGAAGGGAAAGUUUCUCUUGCAGCUAAUUUACAUGCAUAUGUACAUUCUGUCUCUUACAGACUACAAGCUUUGAUUCUUUUCAUUAUACACCGUCAUCAACGUGAUAACCAAGUGGAAGCUAGCUAUUAGCAACUACUGCAAAUAAAACAGUGCCCCUUGUAUUGAAGAUGAUAUAAUUAAUUUCUACUCAUAUAAAUGCUUUGGCAA